AACCAUCUUGCACAUACUUCCAUGCUUUCUGGACUAUGGGCUCCAUCCAAAUAAAACACAAGUCCAUUGCUUUCAGUGUUGAUAUAACGAUCAGGAACAAUUUGAGCUCGUCCUUGCAAACAGGCUGUUGUUAGCCCCUUAAUAAACUGCUCAGGUAGUGAGCUAGUUUGCUCCAAGUAGGAGAUUUCAAGGUGACCAGUCCUUUGAAGCCAUUUAAAAGAUAGUGCAAUGGCAAGACCAGCAUUUACAUACUGGUGCUCACCUUCAAGACCAAGUUUUAGGCCAUUCAGCAAGUUGGAAUCUAAUGGUUGUGCCACUUGAAGAGGUACAUCUCGCUUAGAAGCCUUCUCUUCAAGCACACACAUUGC
RNAcentral lists this unclassified non-coding RNA (368 nucleotides) under Hevea brasiliensis (rubber tree). Lineage: Eukaryota; Viridiplantae; Streptophyta; Magnoliopsida; Malpighiales; Euphorbiaceae. The record is from RNAcentral.